Molecule: ribosomal RNA, 479 nt
Filed under: uncultured bacterium
Lineage: Bacteria
Description: bacterial SSU rRNA
Rfam family: Bacterial small subunit ribosomal RNA
Source: RNAcentral
AUGAACGCUGGCGGCGUGCCUAACACAUGCAAGUCGAGCGAGAAAUCUUUAAACAAAUCUUCGGAAGAGUGAUGAGAUGGAAAGCGGCGGACGGGUGAGUAACGCGUAGGCAACCUGCCCCAUACAGAGGGAUAGCCUCGGGAAACCGGGAUUAAAACCUCAUAACACGAAGUAUUCACAUGUUUGCUUCGUCAAAGAUUUAUCGGUAUGGGAUGGGCCUGCGUCUGAUUAGCUAGUUGGUGAGGUAACGGCUCACCAAGGCAACGAUCAGUAGCCGACCUGAGAGGGUAAUCGGCCACAUUGGAACUGAGACACGGUCCAAACUCCUACGGGAGGCAGCAGUGGGGAAUAUUGCACAAUGGGCGAAAGCCUGAUGCAGCAACGCCGCGUGAGCGAUGAAGGCCUUUGGGUCGUAAAGCUCUGUCCUUGGGGAAGAAAAAAAUGACGGUACCCUUGGAGGAAGCCCCGGCUAACUACGU